This 68-nucleotide transfer RNA is filed under the name Cymbium olla (pot-bellied volute). Its description in RNAcentral is "tRNA-Lys". Lineage: Eukaryota; Metazoa; Mollusca; Gastropoda; Neogastropoda; Volutidae. The record is from RNAcentral.
CUUUAGGUGACUGAAUUAAAGUGUUAGAUUUUUAAUCUGAAAAUAGCGAAGUAAUGAGCUCCUAAGGG